GAAUCAGCGUUAUACUAGACUGCAGUGUGCUCUUAUUUCUAUAAGUGUGUGUGGAGGUGUAGAUGUUGUGUGAGAGAGGGAAAAUACAUUGAUUGAAGGAAAGAACAGUUUGAACUUAUUACAAAAACGCUUUAAAGCUCUAAAUGCCCCAAAGCACAUUACGCUUAUUGUUUUCAAUGACACACUCUAAAAUCUAUGUGUGUGUGUGUUAAUAUUUAAAAAAUAAAACUUACAAAUACCUCCAAAUUAUUGGUGUUAAUCUGGCACCUGGUGCUAAUUCUCCUUAAUUAUAUGACAAACCCUAUUUAACUGGCAACAUUCCCCCAAUUGCACUGUGAUUGUAAGAUGGAGGGCCGCUCUAAGAUGACAGGCCUAAGGGAUGACCCUUUCAGACAUUGCAAAAACAGCCAUUCAAAAUCUGUGAUUUCUUGAAUAUUGCAACUUUAAACAGUAAUGACACUAACUCCUUCAAGUCCUGGUUGUCCAGUAAGACAAAUGAAUGAGAGGACAGCACAAUGCGGAGACUCUCAAUGGGGAAGGGGUUCAGCACUGCAGCUGGAAUUGCUUGCCAGUCCAGUGCUGAAGAGGGUAUAGAUCUGAAAACGACCAAGCCUCUCAUCAGCAGAAACAAUCAAAAGGCUAGGUUUAUGUUUGCUGAGGAACAUGUUUUGUGGAGAGAGGAGAACUGGUCGAAAGUUCUCUUUAGUGAUAGCAGCAAGUUUAAUUUCUUCGGGUCUGAUGGGAAGCCUUUUGUUUGGUGUCAAACUGGGGAAAGACUGAAAUCCAAGUGCGUAAAGAAGUCAGUGAAGUGUUUUCAACAGUUCCAUUAUAUGAGUCAUGCUGCUCCAGUGAGAUCGUCUGUGUAAAGUUCUCUGCCACAGGAAGUGGCUCAUAGAGCUGAAAUCUCUGUGGAACCACACUCUCAAUUCAAGAAGCAAAGGAAUAAAACCAGAUGGAACAAGAGCCAACAUGUGAAGGUAGAAAACAAUGGGACAGGAAAAUGCCAAAAUUACUUUAUUUGGGCAAGCUCAGCUGACUCAGCCGUUUAACAGCUGCUGUAUCAAACCACACUGGAGUAUGAUGACGCUGGUGGUCGCCAGAGGACUUUGAGACAUCCGACAAACACGGACUUCAUUAUCAGAUGGAGAUCAGGGGGCCAGGACUCUCUACGUGACCUAUGCAGAAGCUGUUGAACCUGAUGCCUCCGCAGCCUGGAGAGCUACGU
This is a long non-coding RNA of Carassius auratus (goldfish), 1225 nucleotides long. RefSeq lists it as uncharacterized. The transcript is spliced from 3 exons. The record is from RefSeq and is a predicted model, not a curated record. Lineage: Eukaryota; Metazoa; Chordata; Actinopteri; Cypriniformes; Cyprinidae.